GAUGAACGCUGGCGGCGUGCCUAACACAUGCAAGUCGAACGAAGCACUGUUAACAGAGAUUCGUCGAAGUUAACUUUGACUUAGUGGCGGACGGGUGAGUAAUGUAUGAGCAACCUGCCUUUCAGAGGGGGACAACAGUUGGAAACGACUGCUAAUACCGCAUAACGUAUUCGGACCGCAUGAUCUGAAUACCAAAGCUUUAUGUGCUGAAAGAUGGCCUCGCGUCUGAUUAGCUAGUUGGUGGGGUAACGGCCCACCAAGGCGACGAUCAGUAGCCGGUCUGAGAGGAUGAACGGCCACAUUGGGACUGAGAUACGGCCCAGACUCCUACGGGAGGCAGCAGUGGGGAAUAUUGGGCAAUGGGGGAAACCCUGACCCAGCAACGCCGCGUGAAGGAAGAAGGCCUUCGGGUUGUAAACUUCUUUUACCAGGGACGAAGAACGUGACGGUACCUGGAGAAAAAGCAACGGCUAACUACGUG
This 481-nucleotide ribosomal RNA is filed under the name uncultured bacterium. Its description in RNAcentral is "bacterial SSU rRNA". It matches the Rfam family "Bacterial small subunit ribosomal RNA", at positions 28 to 507 of the family's 1533-position model. The record is from RNAcentral.